CUUGUGACUUCGCAGGAGACCGCCACUCACGCGGAGCCAAUCGGAACUCGCGGCGGGGUUGCUGGGUCUUCCAGGAUCGCGCAUUAGCGGACGCUGGCUACGGGUGGCCGGGCGGGAUGUAACCGGCUGCUGAGCUGGCAGUUCUGUGUCCCCAGGCUUCGGCCCGGCCGCCGCCGCACAUAAACUGCGAGGAGGAGCUUUACGACUUCUCGGUCUUCGGGGCCGGGCGCAGCAAGGGCCAGACUCUGCGCUAGCAGGCGCUGCGCGCCAACCGGCCGGCCCCUGUCGCAGAAGGUGCAACCGAUCGCACUGUCGCGCAGAAGCUCCUCAAUGGCCAGCGCCAGCUGCAGCCCCGGCUGCCCACUCGCCUCACCUGAGCCUGGGUGGAACAAUCCAAAGUUUUAAUCAAAGAAGGUGGUAUUCAGUUGCUGCUUACAAUAGUUGAUACCCCAGGAUUUGGAGAUGCAGUGGAUAAUAGUAAUUGCUGGCAGCCUGUUAUCAAUUACAUUGAUAGUAAAUUUGAGGACUACCUAAAUGCAGAAUCGCAAGUGAACAGAUGUCAGAUGCCUGGUAACAGGGUGCACUGUUGUUUAUACUUCAUUGCUCCUUCAGGACAUGGACCGUUACAUAACUGAAGACUCCCACCUUCAGGCAGGAUUGGGUAGUACAUGUUUGUAACUACCUGGCAUUGCCUUUUGUUGAGACUUAAACCAUUGGAUAUUGAGUUUACAAAGCAUUUGCAUGAAAAAGUGAAUAUCAUCCCACUUAUUGCCAAAGCAGACACACUCAUGCCAGAGGAAUGCCAACAGUUUAAAAAACAGAUAAAGAAAUCCAAGAACAUAAAGUUAAAAUAUAUGAAUUUCCAGAAACAGAUGAUGAAGAAGAAAAAAAACUUGUUAAAAAGAUAAAGGACCAUUUACCUCUUGCUGUGGUGGGUAGUAAUACUAUCAUUGAAGUUAAUGGCAAAAGGGUCAUAGGAAGGCAGUAUCCUUGGAGUGUUGCUGAAGUUGAAAAUGGUGAACAUUGUGAUUUUACAGUUUUAAGAAAUAUGUUGAUAAGAACACACGCAGGACUUGAAAGAUGUUACUAAUAAUGUCCACUACGAGAACUAUGGAAUCAGAAAACUGGCAGCUGUGACUUAUCAUGGAGUUGAUAACAAGAAGAAUAAAGGGCAGCUCACUAAGAGCCCUCUGGCACAAAUGGAAGAAGAAAGAAGGGAGCAAGUAGCUAAAAUUAAGAAGAUGGAGAUGGAGAUGGAGCAGGUGUUUGAGAUGAAGGUCAAAGAAAAAGUUCAAAAACUGAAGGACUCUGAAGCUGAGGUACAGCGGACCUUCCUGGCAUCAGAAAAAGGCCUCCAGAAAAAGAGACACAGCACACACAUGCCCUCUUGGUUCUGUUUCUUUGAAGAACCCCAGGAAAACACACAAAGGAAAAACAACUCGAUAGACAGAAGAUUCUUCAAUGACAACAAUGGAAGCCAUCUUCACCAUUCAACUAAACUUGAAUGGGAUAUUAUCAAACUUAAAAAAAAAUUAUCAACUGAUCGUGUAAUCAGUUUCAUCUUUUAAGACAGGAAAUGAAAUAAAGUAUUUACAGAUGAAUGUAAAAU
Long non-coding RNA from Homo sapiens (human), 1609 nucleotides. Lineage: Eukaryota; Metazoa; Chordata; Mammalia; Primates; Hominidae. The record is from Ensembl.